CGCACGGUCCCGUUUCCGUUGGUUGGAGGGGCCGUCGUAAUGAUUAACAGGGACCGUCGGGGGCAUCAGUAUUUUGCAGCGAGAGGUGAAAUUCUUGGACCUGCAAAAGACUAACUAGUGCGAAAGCAUUUGCCAAGGAGGUUUUCAUUAAUCAAGAACGAAAGUUGGGGGAUCGAAAACGAUCAGAUACCGUUGUAGUCUCAACCAUAAACGAUGCCGACCAGGGAUCGGGCGGUGUUGACAUUGUGACCCGCUCGGCACCUUGCGAGAAAUCAAGAGUCUUUGGGUUCCUUGGGGAGUAUGGUGGCAACGCUGAAACUUAAAGAAAUUGACGGAAGGGCACCACCAGGGGUGGAGCCUGCGGCUUAAUUUGACUCAACACGGGGAAACUCACCAGGUCCAGACACGGCGAGGAUUGACAGAUUGAGAGCUCUUUCUUGAUUUCGUGGGUGGUGGUGCAUGGCCGUUCUUAGUUGGUGGAGUGAUUUGUCUGCUUAAUUGCGAUAACGAACGAGACCUUAACCUGCUAACUAGCCCGCGUCGCCUCGGCGGCGUGCCCAAUUGAUGGCUUCUUAGAGGGACUAUCGGCUCAAGCCGAUGGAAGUUUGAGGCAAUAACAGGUCUGUGAUGCCCUUAGAUGUUCUGGGCCGCACGCGCGCGACACUGACAGGGCCAGCGAGUAAAAUGUUUAUUUAUUUCCCCCUUGGCCGAGAGGUCUGGGUAAUCUUGGGAAACCCUGUCGUGCUGGGGAUAGAGCAUUGCAAUUGUUGCUCUUGAACGAGGAAUCCCUAGUAAGCGCAAGUCAUCAGCUUGCGUUGAUUACGUCCCUGCCCUUUGUACACACCGCCCGUCGCUACUACCGAUCGAAUGGCUCAGUGAGGCUUUCGGACUGGCCUAGGGAGGUUGGCAACGA
Molecule: ribosomal RNA, 913 nt
Filed under: Equicapillimyces hongkongensis (nom. inval.)
Lineage: Eukaryota; Fungi; Ascomycota; Sordariomycetes
Description: bacterial SSU rRNA
Rfam family: Eukaryotic small subunit ribosomal RNA
Source: RNAcentral